Molecule: long non-coding RNA, 1077 nt
Organism: Gallus gallus (chicken)
Lineage: Eukaryota; Metazoa; Chordata; Aves; Galliformes; Phasianidae
Source: Ensembl
CUGUGAGCGCCCUGCUCCUCAGCCCUGCCCGCUUCAGCCCCGCCCGUCGGGCAGCCCGGUGCUUCACCCGCGUCCGGAGCGGUGCUGUUAACGCCGGGCCGCGCCUGAGGCGAGGAAAGGGUUUUCCUUGGCCCGGGCGUGAGGCGCGUGCGGGCUGAGGAGCCGUAGCCCGGCUGCUGCGCGCCUCUGCCCUGCGGGGAGUGGCUUUCAAGUUUCCUCACCGCUUUGCCGCACUUCCUCUUCCAGGCUCUCAUUUGAAAUAAUAUUUUGGUGGCUUAAGAGCCGUGGUGUUGUUAGAGUGGCAGGGCCGAAGCUGGGCGGGCUCCCUCGGUGUUCCCGAGGCGGCGGCCCUGUGUGGGCCUCGAGUCUUCGGCGGCGGUCUGUGUGGGCCUCGAGUCUUCGGUGUGUACGUGUGGAGCUCAAGUAGGAGAGGACACGGAAUCACAGCGUGCCCCGAGUUGGAAGGGACCCGUGCGGAUCAUGGAUUCCAACUGCCAGCUCCACACGAGACCCUCCAAAAAUGAGCCCACGUGUCUGCGUGUGGUACAGAUGAUUCUUGAACUCGGUCAGCUCAGUGCCGUGACCACACGGCCUGUUCCACACCCACCACCCUCCGCUGCAGAACCUUUUCCUGAACGCCUUCUGCCCAAAGCAGACUUCUGUCAUCGUUUUCUAACUCAUGCUGGUGGGUGCCGGGGUGCUGCUGAGGGCUGCGAUUGACCAUCGCGAGGCUGUAGUCAUCUCUGGAAAGCCGGGUCCCAUCUGUGUGGUGUCCAGCUUCUUCCCUGAAGGUUUCACUUCGUGCUCACAAGGCCCAGAUACAUCCCUGAUCUGAGACAGAGGGAUCACCAGAGGGAAGAAGGCUGAAAGAGUUUUAGCAGCUGGCUUGAGCUCAGAAGGAAGAGUUGCAACUCAUGCUGAGAUCUCCAUCAUGCUGAGAUGCAACUGCCUGGUGUUUUUGAAGGCUCUGUUUGCUGUAGAGGUUCGAUGUAGGUUUCAUAACAACAGGGGUUUACUUCACUGCCCCAAGUCAAGGGGUGUGUUUGUUUUGUGUUGGAGGAAGAUCCAGCCUGCUGU